GACAUGCAGAGAACUUUCCAGAGAUGGAUUGGUGGCCUUCGGGAACUCUGACACAGGUGCUGCAUGGCUGUCGUCAGCCCGUGUCGUGAGAUGUUGGGUUAAGUCCGUAACGAGCGCAACCCUUGUCCUUAGUUACCAGCACGUUAUGGUGGGCACUCUAAGGAGACUGCCGGUGACAAACCGGAGGAAGGUGGGGAUGACGUCAAGUCAUCAUGGCCCUUACGGCCUGGGCUACACACGUGCUACAAUGGUCGGUACAAAGGGUUGCCAAGCCGCGAGGUGGAGCUAAUCCCAUAAAACCGAUCGUAGUCCGGAUCGCAGUCUGCAACUCGACUGCGUGAAGUCGGAAUCGCUAGUAAUCGUGAAUCAGAAUGUCACGGUGAAUACGUUCCCGGGCCUU
RNAcentral lists this ribosomal RNA (400 nucleotides) under uncultured Pseudomonas sp. RNAcentral's name for it is "bacterial SSU rRNA". It matches the Rfam family "Bacterial small subunit ribosomal RNA", at positions 983 to 1382 of the family's 1533-position model. The record is from RNAcentral. Lineage: Bacteria; Pseudomonadati; Pseudomonadota; Gammaproteobacteria; Pseudomonadales; Pseudomonadaceae.